UUCAUAAAGACUGAUCUGUUGGUUUAGAAUUUUGUGAAAAAUUGCUGUCUUGUAUUACUCUUCUGUCAUUUUUUCCCUCUCGCCAGCUGAUGUUUCAAGGUUAUUUUCAGCAUACAAAAACCAAAGCAGGACAAGACGUACUGCAAGAGGCACACUUUCCACAUAUAUACACACAUUUUGUUGUCUUUCGCACAAAGAUGCAACUACUGUUCCAAGAAGGGUUGGCAAAGACCAACUCCGAAGAUCGGGGUUGGGUGACAGACGCCUAGUCUUUCGAGGUAACCAAGACAGUUCAACCGAGUUUAUAGAGUUCAUUCUCUCUUCUUAUCCAAAGCUGAGAGAUGGAGGUGGUUUUGAGUUACUGAAGAUUUCCGGAACAACACGAAAUCGGCAUCUCUACCUAAUCCCGUGCCCUAAUCAGGGGUACUGUGUGACAUACCUGAAAGAUCCUGCUCUCCUGAUCAAUCAUUCUACUAUCUACAUUCGCCCGCUCCAAAGAAAUUUGAACAUGGAGAAUGUGUCUAAUGAUGGACCAGUUGACACUGAACCUGGACCCUUGACAGCUUGUCUGAAUUGUGGAGAGGAAUUUCCUUUUUCACAGAUGAGAUCACACAGCGAGGCUUGUUCGAGGCAUUCACAAAGUGAAAUGGAAAAUGAAGAUUCAGCUGUCCCUUCAACUAGUGGGACAUGUGCCUCCACCUCACAGGAUCCAGUUGUAGUUUUGGAAAGUCCAGAGACAAGUUCAGAUGAGGAUAUGCACAGAGAAGGUUUAUAAGAUUAAUUUAAAGGUGCCUUAAGUAUUUGUCUAAAUUAAAGCCUAACAUAGCAUUUUCCUAAAUAUCUGCAAACAUAUGGUAAGUUCACAUACUAGUUUCUUUAAAAAACAAUACAGACAGUUGCUACAGACAGUUAUUCUACUUUGAAAUGUGUGUUACAUGUUGGAAUGUCCGUUAUUGUUUUGGUCCUUA
This is a long non-coding RNA of Triplophysa rosa, 968 nucleotides long. RefSeq lists it as uncharacterized. NCBI's taxonomy places the organism in Eukaryota, Metazoa, Chordata, Actinopteri, Cypriniformes, Nemacheilidae. The record is from RefSeq and is a predicted model, not a curated record. The transcript is spliced from 4 exons.